This 253-nucleotide ribosomal RNA is filed under the name uncultured bacterium. Its description in RNAcentral is "partial 16S ribosomal RNA". It matches the Rfam family "Bacterial small subunit ribosomal RNA", at positions 524 to 776 of the family's 1533-position model. The record is from RNAcentral.
UACGUAGGGUGCGAGCGUUAAUCGGAAUGACUGGGCGUAAAGCGUGCGUAGGCGGCUGGUUAAGACGGAUGUGAAAUCCCCGGGCUCAACCUGGGAACGGCAUACGUGACUGGCCAGCUAGAGUAUGGCAGAGGGGGGUAGAAUUCCACGUGUAGCAGUGAAAUGCGUAGAGAUGUGGAGGAAUACCGAUGGCGAAGGCAGCCCCCUGGGCCGUGACUGACGCUGAUGCACGAAAGCGUGGGGAGCAAACAGG